Molecule: small nucleolar RNA, 132 nt
Organism: Rattus norvegicus (Norway rat)
Lineage: Eukaryota; Metazoa; Chordata; Mammalia; Rodentia; Muridae
Product: small nucleolar RNA SNORA17
Source: Ensembl
CCUGCCCAUAGGGGUGUCCCAGGUGUGUCUGCUGUGUCACAUGUGUUUGAGUAGGUAGCAGAGAGGAAAGAGGCUAGGUCUAAACUCAGUAUUCUGACCUGUGAACAUCUGAAUGAUUAGUAGCCUAACACU